GACGAACGCUGGCGGCGUGCUUAACACAUGCAAGUCGAACGGUAAGGCCCUUCGGGGUACACGAGUGGCGAACGGGUGAGUAACACGUGGGUGAUCUGCCCUGCACUUCGGGAUAAGCCUGGGAAACUGGGUCUAAUACCGGAUAGGACCACUGCCUGCAUGGGUGGUGGGGGAAAGCUUUUGCGGUGUGGGAUGGGCCCGCGGCCUAUCAGCUUGUUGGUGGGGUGAUGGCCUACCAAGGCGACGACGGGUAGCCGGCCUGAGAGGGCUGACCGGCCACACUGGGACUGAGAUACGGCCCAGACUCCUACGGGAGGCAGCAGUGGGGAAUAUUGCACAAUGGGCGCAAGCCUGAUGCAGCGACGCCGCGUGAGGGAUGACGGCCUUCGGGUUGUAAACCUCUUUCAGCACCGACGAAGCGCAAGUGACGGUAGGUGCAGAAGAAGGACCGGCCAACUACGUGCCAGCCGCCGCAGUAA
RNAcentral lists this ribosomal RNA (479 nucleotides) under uncultured bacterium. RNAcentral describes it as "partial 16S ribosomal RNA". It matches the Rfam family "Bacterial small subunit ribosomal RNA", at positions 28 to 523 of the family's 1533-position model. The record is from RNAcentral.